UACGUAGGAGGCAAGCGUUGUCCGGAAUUACUGGGCGUAAAGCGCGUGUAGGUGGUGGGACAAGUCUGCUGUGAAAGCGCCUGGCUUAACCGGGCGAGGUCGGCGGAAACUGUUCGACUCGAGGACGGUAGAGGGGGGUGGAAUUCCCGGUGUAGUGGUGAAAUGCGCAGAUAUCAGGAGGAACACCGGUGGCGAAGGCGGGUCUCUGGGCCGAUAUUGACGCUGAGGAGCGAAAGCGUGGGGAGCGAACAGG
This 253-nucleotide ribosomal RNA is filed under the name uncultured bacterium. RNAcentral describes it as "partial 16S ribosomal RNA". It matches the Rfam family "Bacterial small subunit ribosomal RNA", at positions 524 to 776 of the family's 1533-position model. The record is from RNAcentral.